This 1086-nucleotide long non-coding RNA is filed under the name Bemisia tabaci. Its description in RNAcentral is "lncRNA ENSSSA1UGG005789". Lineage: Eukaryota; Metazoa; Arthropoda; Insecta; Hemiptera; Aleyrodidae. The record is from RNAcentral.
AUGAGGACAAACAUAACAGCACCACCGAGGGGCGAGUUUUACAGUCACCACAGCGAAAACAAGUUGGUGGUUCGUCAUAAGACUUUGAGAAGGAAUAUGAGUGAGGAACAAAUCAAACAAGAAUUCAUCAAUGAAUUUUCUCCCUUCUUAGAUAAUAUUGGAUUCAAAUUCUUUACUCAAAAAGGCUUAUCCUUAAUCGUAGACCUGGGUCUAGCUAAGGGGACUGCUUUAAAUGGCGCUACGUUCAGCCGGCUAUAUAAAAAAAAAGCAGUGUUUAAUAUGCCAUUUCAGGAUUUGCCCAUCCCUGAUUUCAAUUCCGUGAGUGGGUCUGAGAGCAUUGCUGAAAAUGGUCCAACAACAAGGGAACGUGAACGAGUGAUGCCUACUAUUGAAAUUAGCGAUGAUGAUUCUGAUGAUUGUGGCCUCUCUGACACACAAUCGUCGCCUGCCACUGAAGUUGAUAUAAGAACAUUGCUGCUCCCGUUGAAGGAACAAAUAUCUACAUCCUAUUGUCAAUGGAAAAUUGAUCGCUGCAAUGUGCUAAAUAAUGCAUUUAACCAAAUGCGUCGUUCAUAUUUUGACCCUACAAAACCUGUGGCCAUAACAUUCACAGACACAAUGGGGAUGGAGCCUGGUGACGAACCACGCGAAGAAGAGGGUGUUGAUGGUGGAGGUCUCUCUCGAGAAUUUUUCACCUUAGGGCUCUGCAAUAUCAGAGAUUCCAAACUUUUUGUCGGCUCAUCUGAAGAGAAAGCAUUAAACUAUCACGGCCCAGGCAACGUUACUCGGCAAGGCAAGAAUGAUUACGAACUUGCAGGUAUGUUUAUGGCUAUGGCCCUCAUCCAGGGAGCAGCUGGACCUAACUUUUUGACGACAGAGCUGUAUGAUGCUCUACUAACUGGCAGUAUUAACAAAGUAAAAGAACACUCGCUAGAUCCUGUUGUUAGGAGGCAUUUGCACUCAAUCAUUGAAGCACCCGAUGUCACUGCUCUAAGAAACGCAGUGCUGGAGGAGUCGUGCACUGAGGCGAGACUGGCCUCUUAUCCAUCACUCUGUGAUAAGCAAAGUCUAAUUGAUCGUAAGUAA